Molecule: ribosomal RNA, 443 nt
Filed under: uncultured bacterium
Lineage: Bacteria
Description: partial 16S ribosomal RNA
Rfam family: Bacterial small subunit ribosomal RNA
Source: RNAcentral
CCUACGGGAGGCAGCAGUGGGGAAUAUUGGGCAAUGGGCGCAAGCCUGACCCAGCAACGCCGCGUGAAGGAAGAAGGCUUUCGGGUUGUAAACUUCUUUUCUCAGGGACGAAGCAAGUGACGGUACCUGAGGAAUAAGCCACGGCUAACUACGUGCCAGCAGCCGCGGUAAUACGUAGGUGGCAAGCGUUAUCCGGAUUUACUGGGUGUAAAGGGCGUGUAGGCGGGGACGCAAGUCAGAUGUGAAAACCAUGGGCUCAAACUGUGGCCUACAAUUGAAACUGUGUUUCGUGAGUACUGGAGAGGGAGACGGGAUUCCUAGUGUAGCGGUGAAAUGCGGAGAUAAUAGGAGGAACACCAGUGGCGAAGGCGGUCUGCUGGACAGCAACUGACGAUGAGGCGCGAAAGCGUGGGGAGGAAACAGGAUUAGAUACCCUAGUAGUC